Telopea speciosissima is the source of this 592-nucleotide long non-coding RNA. RefSeq lists it as uncharacterized. The transcript is spliced from 4 exons. NCBI's taxonomy places the organism in Eukaryota, Viridiplantae, Streptophyta, Magnoliopsida, Proteales, Proteaceae. The record is from RefSeq and is a predicted model, not a curated record.
AUGCGAUUGAUGAGCAGAGGAAGCGGCAGAAGCAGCAACAGGUCCGGUGCGCAACAGAGUUGAGGGCGGCCGGGGUGAAGUUCAAGAAGAGGAAGACAAAUCGAUUGUUGGACGUGAAGUUCGAAAAAGGAACCCUUUGGAUCCCACGCCUGGUUGUCAAUGAGGAAACCAAAUCGCUCUUACUGAACAUGAAAGCUUACGAGCACUGCCACUGGGAAUGUGGCAACGAGGUCACCGCUUACUUGAUAUUGAUGGACAAUCUGAUAAACUCGGCUGAGGACGUGAGUUACCUGAAUAGACGAAAGAUAUUGGCGCACUGGUUGGGUAGUUAUGAGGAAGUGGCAGUGUUCUUCAACUGUUUGUGCAGAGAGGUAGUGUUUGAUUUCCAGAACACUUACAUCUCUAAAUUGUCGGCGGACGUGAACAAUUACUGCAACAAAAGGCGGAACAGAUGGCUAGCCAUCUUAAGGCAAAACCACUGCAGGAACCCAUGGACUAUCAUUUCCCUUUUUGCUGGGUUCAUCUUCUUGUUGCUCACUUCGGUGGAGACAUUUUACAGUGUCUAUGGGUAUUAUCGACCCCCCAAUUAGUU